Molecule: ribosomal RNA, 520 nt
Filed under: uncultured archaeon
Lineage: Archaea
Description: bacterial SSU rRNA
Rfam family: Archaeal small subunit ribosomal RNA
Source: RNAcentral
AAAGGCGGAAACCGUGAAAGGGGGACACCGAGUGCCAGCAACAUUUGUUGGCUGUCCACAUGCGUAAAAUGCAUGUGUUAGCAAGGGCCGGGCAAGACCGGUGCCAGCCGCCGCGGUAACACCGGCGGCCCGAGUGGUGAUCGUUAUUAUUGGGUCUAAAGGGUCCGUAGCCGGUUUGGUCAGUCCUCCGGGAAAUCUGUCAGCUCAACUGAUAGGCUUUCGGGGGGUACUGCCAGACUUGGAACCGGGAGAGGUAAGAGGUACUACAGGGGUAGGAGUGAAAUCUUGUAAUCCCUGUGGGACCACCUGUGGCGAAGGCGUCUUACCAGAACGGGUUCGACGGUGAGGGACGAAAGCUGGGGGCACGAACCGGAUUAGAUACCCGGGUAGUCCCAGCCGUAAACGAUGCUCGCUAGGUGUCAUGCAUGGUGCGACCGUGUAUGGCGCCGUAGGGAAGCCGUGAAGCGAGCCACCUGGGAAGUACGGCCGCAAGGCUGAAACUUAAAGGAAUUGGCGGGGG